RNAcentral lists this ribosomal RNA (911 nucleotides) under uncultured bacterium. RNAcentral's name for it is "bacterial SSU rRNA". It matches the Rfam family "Bacterial small subunit ribosomal RNA", at positions 11 to 914 of the family's 1533-position model. The record is from RNAcentral.
GUUUGAUCCUGGCUCAGGACGAACCGCUGGCGGCGUGCUUAACACAUGCAGGUCGAGCGGAAAGGCCCCUUCGGGGGUACUCGAGCGGCGAACGGGUGAGUAACACGUGGGUAACCUGCCCUUGGCUUUGGGAUAACCUCGGGAAAUCGGGGCUAAUACCGAAUAUGACACGCGACCGCAUGGUCUGUGUGUGGAAAGAUUUUUCGGCUGAGGAUGGACUCGCGGCCUAUCAGCUUGUUGGUGGGGUAAUGGCCUACCAAGGCAUCGAUGGGUAGCUGGUCUGAGAGGACGAUCAGCCACACUGGGACUGAGACACGGCCCAGACUCCUACGGGAGGCAGCAGUGGGGAAUCUUGCGCAAUGCGCGAAAGCGUGACGCAGCAACGCCGCGUGGGGGAAGACGGCCUUCGGGUUGUAAACCCCUUUCAGGAGGGACGAAGGUUCGCCGGUGAAUAGCCGUGUGGAUUGACGGUACCUCCAGAAGAAGCUCCGGCUAACUACGUGCCAGCAGCCGCGGUAAUACGUAGGGAGCAAGCGUUGUCCGGAAUCAUUGGGCGUAAAGCGCGCGUAGGCGGCCCUGUAAGUCCGUUGUGAAAGUCAAAGGCUCAACCUUUGAAAGCCGAUGGAUACUGCAGGGCUAGAGUCCGGAAGAGGCGAGUGGAAUUCCUGGUGUAGCGGUGGAAUGCGCAGAUAUCAGGAGGAACACCAAUAGCGAAGGCAGCUCGCUGGGACGGUACUGACGCUAAGGCGCGAAAGCGUGGGGGGCGAACAGGAUUAGAUACCCUGGUAGUCCACGCCGUAAACGAUGGGCACUAGGUGUGGGAGGUGUCGACUCCUCCCGUGCCGUCGCUAACGCACUAAGUGCCCCGCCUGGGGGGUACGGCCGCAAGGCUAAAACUCAAAGGAAUUGAC